CCCAUCCACUAUCUCUCUCCAGAAAAGAACGCCUUAUCCUAAUCUCCUUUCCUCGUCUCAACCUGGUGGUGGCGAAGAACCAGAGGGCCACAGCCGCCGCCAGUGUCGUAGCCCGGGGUGUCGAGGGAGAGGCGACGGACUGGAGGAACCAGGCGAGCCGGUCGGCGGGUAACCGGAGCAGCAGCGCCAUCGUCUCCUCCCUUCGUCUUUCUUCUAGCUGGAGCGGGGUCGGCCAGCUGCCGCAUCCCCGUCGAGGAAGGGGCCACGGAGCUCACGCCGGAGAGUGGCCUAGUGCUUAGGUAAGGCUGCAGCCGCGCCGUCGUGUGGUCUGCUGACACCAAGGGCUGGUCCAUCGCCGGGGCGUGCAUCAGCAGCGACGCCUCCGAUAUUGGCCACCCGCCAUGGAUGUUCCUCUGGUCUGACCCUAGUGCCAUGGAACAAGUCAAGCACGCAUGGCAGCAGAUCGCUGCAGCCAUCCUUCUCACCUGGGAAGGAGGAGAGCCAUCAGCAGCAGCCCAGGUUCGUCUCUCUUUUUCCUCGUCCCUGCUCACUUCCUCAACUCUCUGCUCAGGUUCUGUGUGUUGCUGCUAGAUCCUCAAGUGUGAGUUUAGCCUGCUAGAUGUGUAUACUAGUUUCAGUUUAUCUAGAAGAAGAGGGGAGUGAGGAGACCAGUUUCGCUCGUGUCUUGCUCAAUUCUGUACUAGUUUCUCACCAAGUGUCUCCUGACAUGGGUUAGGUGGAUGGAUGGAUACAUAUAUCUAGCAAAAUGAACAUGAGUAAUUAUUGUCUACUGAUUAAGCCGAUUGAUGCAAGGUGUUCAUAUAUCUAUCUAUCUAUGUGUUACUACUUCUAGGAAAUGGAAUCAGUGUUUUUGCUUGGAGAUUGUACUGAUUUUUACGACCAGGAAUUUUUUUGUUUUUUGCAUUCUAGCUACCUCACUUUUUAGCAUGAGUUGCCUAGAGUUCCAAUUCCCCAACCCCCUUGCUUCUCCAUCUACUCCAACUUGUUCUAUCUAACCUGCUCCGAACUGCUGCAGGAUCUACUCAAUUUUGAUCCUUUUCUUAGUGCCUGCCAGUAGUUGCUUCAAAAUUUAGCAUCAGUUGCUUGAAAUUAUAGGCAAAGUUGUUGCAUUUUUUUUUACUUUUGCACACGAGAUCAUGUGUUAUCAUUUUUGUUUAGAAGGAUCAUGUUUGAGGGAACUUGGUGGGCAGAACAAAUCAACAUAUACAAGUAUAAGUCUAUCAUAUGCUCUGCUCUGCUCUGUCUCUUGAUUGAUGACAACAGAAUUCAGUAGGAGUACCGUUUGUUCAUCCAAUUGAUAAUUCAUUCCUGAACUGCCACCAUUUUUGCGAGAUGAAUAAUGGGCUAGAUUCAGAGAUAAGUGAAUUUUGCCUACAUAUAGAAUUAGAUUGCUACUAUUUUUUUUAUAAAAUGAAAUGAAUGUGCUCCAUGCAACUCAGGGGGUUUUGGUGUUGAUUUUGCAUGAGAUACAACUGAUUUCAAUGUCAUAAACACAUUUUUUUGUGCAACUUGUUGCUUCAAAGCAUGUGUAGUUGCUCAAGUUUAUAAUAUGGGUUGCCUGGAAUUAAACGAAAGGUUACUUUAAUUUUUACUAAAUCUAUAGGGCCUGGAAACAGGGGGAGGUGCGGAUUUUGUACUCCGCUGAGUGGCUUCUCUUGUGACGGGCGUCACGCCUGAUAUGGGGAUUGAAGGGGGUUGGGCAGCAUUGGAUUCGGAAGGCGACUUUCCACUCCAAGGAUAGAAUAGUUACUUGGAUUUCGUUAAAAGAGUUGCAUUUUGUGCGUGUACCGCAGUUGCUUAGUUUUGUUGGGGCAGUUGCUCGGAUUCGUUUUUGAACAUUUUUGUUGCAUUUUUGCCUCUUGUAAUGCGGUUGCUUGGUUUUCCUAGGACAGUUGCUUCCUUUUUACUAGAACAGCUUUGCAUUUUUGUGUUUUUUAAUUGAGUUUCUUGGAUUUUUGCUAGGCUAGAUGAGAAGUUGCAUGGAGAGGGGGGUCAGAUAGUUUUCCACAAAGGUUAUUCAAGUUUCUCACACCUUUUUUUUCUUCCUAAAGUAGUAGAUAAUCUAAGUAGUAAUGCUAGGGACAAUUACCUAUUUUUGCUAGGACAAUUUCACACUUUUCUGUUUCGAGUUGCUUCGAUUGUUUGCUGUAAGUUUUUUAGAUUAUCAUCUCAGAUUUGAAUACGCAUGCAGACUGAGAAGAUACAUCUAUGAAGUAGUUCCUGAUGGCCUAUAACUGAUGCGAUGAUUGACUUGCAUGGCUAUCAUCCCGAUCCUCCUCCCGUCGACGCGCUCCGUGCGAAGCACACCAUCGCCCCACCCUCUACCCUAAAGUAGAUGCUAGGGGAGUUGCUUGAUUUUUCUAGGACAAUUGCUUGGUUUUGCUAGGGUAGUUGCUUGUUUUUCUUGCUAGAACAAUUUUUGCAUUUUGUGUACUUUUGUAGUUGAGUUGUUUGGAUUUUUGCUAGAACAGAUGAGAAGUUACAUGGAGGAGGGGGGAUAAGAUAGUUGUCCACAAAGGUUAUUCAACUUACUCAUAUGUUUUUUUUCUGCCUAAAAUAGACAAUCUAAGUAGUAGUGCCAGAGACAUCUGCUUGUUUCUGCUACAAAAGUUUCCCACUUUUUGCGUUUCUUUGUAAUCGAAUUGCUUUGAUCUUCUGCUACAACAUACGAGAAGGUGGAUGAGAGGGGAGUUGCUUGGUUUUGCUAGGACAUUUUUUUCAUAAAAGGUUAUUCAAGUUGCUCAUACAUUUUUUUCCUCUGCCUAAAAUUGAUGGUAGGGGAGUUGCUUGGUUUUGCUAGGACAAUUGCUUGGUUUUGCUAGGGCAGUUGCUUGUUUUUUUUUUGCUAGAACAAUUUUGCAUUUUUGUGUUUUUUAUAUUGAGUUACAAGCAAAAGGGCUGCUCAACCUGAUGUUUCACAGGGUGAAAUGCUGGAUCGACAUGAGGUACCCAUGGUUUUUUCAGAUUUUUUUUGAUGAAACGGUGAUGAUGAAGAAGGAAAGCAACCGGAACGGGCGAAGAGAGGUGGAUAUGAAGUAAUUCUAAAAAAUACUGUAUUAGUAGAUUAAGUUGCAUCAGAAUAUAUAUGGAGCUGCUUAGUUCACAUCAACAGUUGAAUAAAAAUGCCUGGAACACAUUUUUGCUUUUUUAAUAGUUGUCCAUGAAUCACACUAAAGUUGCCUAUGUUAGAGAAUAUAUAUGUUGUCUCUAUUUGUUGUUUUUGUGGUUCUUUUUUUUCGCACAAGGGUUGCCUGAUAUUACUGCAAGGAGCUUAUGGGGCAGCAACCCCUCUUUUAAUGCAUGACACUAAUUGCUUCAAAUUUUAAAAGAGUUGUCCGAAAUCAUAGCAAAGUUGCUGCAUGUAUUUUUACUUUUGUUUUGGGGAUGCAUGCUACUUUUUAAUGCAAGGAACUCAUAUGGGGCAGCGGACCUUUUUUACAUGCCUGAUAGUAGUUGGACUCAUUGGAUGGUUAAAAGUGUCUACAGAGGCAGAUUCCGAUAUUUGGGGCGUUUUGGUGAUCCACGUUGGAGCUGACCUUAUGAUAGGCGAUUUAGAGGUGAAGCUAGUCAAUUGGUAGUCAUGGUAACCAACUUAUAAGGAUCCUCCGUUGAUGGGUAG
RNAcentral lists this ribosomal RNA (3640 nucleotides) under Triticum aestivum (bread wheat). Its description in RNAcentral is "partial small subunit ribosomal RNA". Lineage: Eukaryota; Viridiplantae; Streptophyta; Magnoliopsida; Poales; Poaceae. The record is from RNAcentral.